This 253-nucleotide ribosomal RNA is filed under the name uncultured prokaryote. RNAcentral's name for it is "partial 16S ribosomal RNA". It matches the Rfam family "Bacterial small subunit ribosomal RNA", at positions 524 to 776 of the family's 1533-position model. The record is from RNAcentral.
UACAGAGGGUGCAAGCGUUAAUCGGAUUUACUGGGCGUAAAGCGCGCGUAGGUGGCCAAUUAAGUCAAAUGUGAAAUCCCCGAGCUUAACUUGGGAAUUGCAUUCGAUACUGGUUGGCUAGAGUAUGGGAGAGGAUGGUAGAAUUCCAGGUGUAGCGGUGAAAUGCGUAGAGAUCUGGAGGAAUACCGAUGGCGAAGGCAGCAAACUGGCCUAAUACUGACACUGAGGUGCGAAAGCAUGGGGAGCAAAAAGG